Pollicipes pollicipes is the source of this 210-nucleotide long non-coding RNA. RefSeq lists it as uncharacterized. The record is from RefSeq and is a predicted model, not a curated record. NCBI's taxonomy places the organism in Eukaryota, Metazoa, Arthropoda, Thecostraca, Pollicipedomorpha, Pollicipedidae. The transcript is spliced from 3 exons.
CUGGAGCUGGCCGGGAACGCCGCUCGCGACAACAGGAAGAGUCGCAUCACGCCCCGGCACCUGCUGCUGGCCAUCGCCAACGACGAGGAGCUGCACAAGUUCUUGCGCGGGGUGACCAUUCCCCAGGGCGGCGUACUACCCCGUAUUCACCCGUCGCUGCUUGUGAAGCGGGGCGACACGGCCUCCAUGCCGGCGGUAACGGCGUCCACG